Long non-coding RNA from Mugil cephalus (flathead mullet), 165 nucleotides. RefSeq lists it as uncharacterized. Lineage: Eukaryota; Metazoa; Chordata; Actinopteri; Mugiliformes; Mugilidae. The record is from RefSeq and is a predicted model, not a curated record. The transcript has 3 exons.
GGAUGGGACACACUUUUCUGUGUGUGCUGUUGUUGACCUUGUUGGAUACACUCCUCUACUGUGGACAUGCUCAAGAUGCUGUGCUGACUACUGACCCCUACUGGUCACCUUUGUUCACUGGAGAGUCAGUUACCUUGAUAUGUGACAUGAAGGAAGGAGGAGUCA